AUGGAAACAUUAUUCCUUCCAGGCUCCCGCACCUCUGGCCUGUGCGCCGCCCGGCCGUGGUGGGCGCGCAACCCCCGACAGAGAGUCUGCACCAGCCCCGGACAGGACGCGGCCCGCCACAGGCUCUCCGUUCCGAAUUCCCACGUCCCGCUCCGUCCUGUGGGCCCCGCUCCCCGAGACACACGCAGGGGCCGAGGAGGAGGACUUCAGGGCCAGGACGCCCCGCCGAGGGCGCGAGCACAGCGCCGGGAGGGCAGGCAAAGCCUCGAUCUCAGUAGAAGCCCCCUCAGCCUGCACCAGAGCCCCGGGUCUCCGGCUAAGGCCCGGGCGCCAGCGGGAGCCCCAACGGAAGAGGAGCAGGAGCGGCCGCCACUAGGCUCAGCGCACGGCUCUCGGGCGCCACCCUGUGGCCACAUAGAGCAGCGGCGGGCCAAAGCUGCGGGGCCUGAGUCUCUUGUUUGUUUUAACCCUUGAUACUGGGGAUUGAACUCAGGGUUUCCACACUUAGCUACAUUCCCAGCCUUUUCAUUAUUUUUAUUUUGAGACAGGGUCUCCUGAAGUCACUAAAUGGUCCAGGCUGGGCUGAAACCUGGCAUCCUCCUGCCUCAGCCUUCAAGUACUAGUAUCACAGGUGUGCACUGACAUACCAGGAUGUUUUGAAAUUGAAAGGCCUUUUAAAUAACGUCGCCUCUGAAAUGAUUUGAGUAGGGAUAACCCUGGGGCUUGACACUGGGUCACUGUGCAGGUGCAGGAUUCCUGCAAAGGGAAAUUUGACCUAGGAGCUCUUGUGGAACGUGACACAAUCUCUGUGUUUAAGACAGGGUUUCACUGAGUUACGCAAGCUGGCCUCAGACUCAUGAUCCUCCUGCCUCAGCCUUCCCAGUGCUGGGAUGACAGGCAUGCACCACCAUGCCUGCUCUGGCGCAAUCUUUGGAGCACUACAUUUAGCCAGUGAGGAUGUUCAAAAUGGCAUUGACUGCAUGCGGGGCACUGAUAUAAACUUUUUGAUGUGCUUUAAGCUUCACCAAGAUUCCUGUGGUAAACACUAUUAUGAUUCUCUUUUUGGGAGCGGGUAAAGUCUUGCUAUGUAAUCCAGUUUGGUCCUGAACUCAC
RNAcentral lists this long non-coding RNA (1113 nucleotides) under Chinchilla lanigera (long-tailed chinchilla). RNAcentral's name for it is "lncRNA (ENSCLAG00000028233.1)". Lineage: Eukaryota; Metazoa; Chordata; Mammalia; Rodentia; Chinchillidae. The record is from RNAcentral.